Molecule: unclassified non-coding RNA, 297 nt
Organism: Cricetulus griseus (Chinese hamster)
Lineage: Eukaryota; Metazoa; Chordata; Mammalia; Rodentia; Cricetidae
Gene: 7SK
Rfam family: 7SK RNA
About the family: 7SK was discovered as an abundant small nuclear RNA in the mid-70s but a possible function has only recently been suggested. Two independent studies have found that 7SK RNA binds the CDK9/cyclin T complex (known as elongation factor P-TEFb). P-TEFb activates transcription by phosphorylating the C-terminal domain of RNA polymerase II.
Source: Ensembl
AGAUAUGGCAAUUGAUUUCUGGCUCCUGAUGCCAUCUGCUCUUCAAUAUCCUGUCUUGCGUUGAUUUGGCUGAUCCGGCUCGCUAGGGAGGUAUCUCUUACCUCCCUCACCGAUCCAUAUGCAUCCUUCCUGAACCCACAGGUUUGGUUAAAGAACUCUGCCUUCCCCGACAGAGGAGGACCACUGUUUUGUCAAGGGAACAUGAAUUGCUGGGUUUCUCUCCUAGGACCUCCAAAUAACUCUCAAGAUCCUCUCUGGAGGGAAGCAUUUACUUAUAUCUUCUUUAUGCUCCUCAGA